GACGAACGCUGGCGGCGUGCUUAACACAUGCAAGUCGAACGGAAAGGCCUGCCUUCCCUUGUGGAUUGCGGGUACUCGAGUGGCGAACGGGUGAGUAACACGUGAGUGAUCUGCCCCCAACUUGGGUAUAAGCCUGGGAAACUGGGUCUAAUUCCCGAUAGGACUGCAGGGUGGUGCCUGUGGUGGAAAACGAUUUUCUAGUGGUUGGGGAUGAGCUCGCGGCCUAUCAGCUUGUUGGUGGGGUAAUGGCCUACCAAGGCGGCGACGGGUAGCCGGCCUGGGAGGGUGGACGGGCACAUUGGGACUGGGAUACGGCCCAGACUCAUACGGGAGGCAGCAGUGGGGAAUAUUGCACGAUGGGCGGAAGGCUGAUGCAGCGACGCCGCGUGGGGGAUGACGGCCUUCGGGUUGUAAACUCCUUUCGACCGCGAGGAAGCCACCUGGUUGGAAGGGAGUGACGGUAGUGGUAGAAGAAGCACCGGCUAACUACGUG
Molecule: ribosomal RNA, 493 nt
Filed under: uncultured bacterium
Lineage: Bacteria
Description: partial 16S ribosomal RNA
Rfam family: Bacterial small subunit ribosomal RNA
Source: RNAcentral